Molecule: long non-coding RNA, 3428 nt
Organism: Cyprinus carpio (common carp)
Lineage: Eukaryota; Metazoa; Chordata; Actinopteri; Cypriniformes; Cyprinidae
Exons: 3
Source: RefSeq, a predicted model, not a curated record
UUUGCUCAUGUGUGGCAGCUCUACAGCAUCUCCAGCAGCUCGCGAGGGCCCUGCAGGUCACAGCGCUGGAGGGAGUGAGUGUGUGAGCAUCAGCCCGAUGGUCCGGCUCCUCUGUGGGCUCAAGUGAGGGCUUCAGCACAUACUUUGAAGGCCUCAAAGUCCUCUGUCAGUGUGGAGCGACGAGGAGUGAAUCAACGUCUGUGUAGGUAAUGCAGAGGUCUCCCACUUGGAUGAAAGACUAUGGACAGCAUGUAGUGAAAAUAACCAAGAAGCAUCGGAUGGCCUGUGCCAACAUAUAUCCGUUUAUGUAUGUUUGCUCUCAACAUUUUCAUAAAGGUAGGUGUGAUUACACAGUUAUUGGAAGCAGUUAAGAAAAAACACACUGCAGUCAGUUGAGAUGAUGACCCACCAGCCUGGAGGAGAUGAUCGGCUAUACAGAGAGGAGGAGCACGCAGGGCUGGGGCAGAUGAUCGACUACAUACAGAGGAGGAGCAGGCGAGGCUGAAGGAGAUGAUCGGCUACACACAGAGGAGGAGCAGGGAAGGCUGGAGUAGAUGGUCGGCGACACACAGAGGAGGAGCACGCAAGGCUGGAUGAGAUGAUCGGCUACACAGAAGGAGGAGCACAGAAGGCUGGGGGAAGAUGGUCGGCUACACACAGAGGAGGAGCACACAAGGCUGGUGGAGAUGGUCGGCUGCACAUAGAGGAGGAGCAUGCAAGGCUGGAGGAGAUGGUCGGCUACACACAGAGGAGGAGCACACAAGGCUGGGGGAGAUGGUCGGCUACACAUAGAGGAGGAGCACAGAAGGCUGGGGGAGAUGGUCGGCUACACACAGAGGAGGAGCAUGCAAGGCUGGAGGAGAUGGUCGGCUACACAUAGAGGAGGAACACACAAGGCUGGGGGAGAUGUUCGGCUACACAUAGAGGAGGAGCAUGCAAGGCUGGAGGAGAUGAUCGGCUACACACAGAGGAGGAGCACACAAGGCUGGGGGAGAUGGUCGGCUACACAUAGGGGAGGAGCACACAAGGCUGGAGGAAGUGAUCGGCUACACACAGAGGAGGAGCACAAAAGGCUGGGGGAGAUGGUCAGGUACACAAAGAGGAGGAGCACGCAAGGCUGGGGGAGAUGAUCGGCUACACACAGAGGAGGAGCACGCAAGGCUGGGGGAGAUGGUCGGCUACACACAGAGGAGGAGCACGCAAGGCUGUAGGAGAUGGUCGGCUACACACAGAGGAGGAGCACGCAAGGCCGGGGGAUGGUUGGCUACACACAGAAGAGGAGCACGCAGGGCUGGAGGAGAUGAUCGGCUACACACAGAGGAGGAGCACGCAAGGCUGGAGGAGAUGAUCGGCAACACACAGAGGAGGAGCACGCAAGGCUGGGGGAGAUGGUCGGCUUCUCACAGAGGAGGGGCAGGCAAGGCUGGGGGAGAUGGUCGGCUACUCACAGAGGAGGAGCGCGCAAGGCUGGAGGAGAUGGUCGGCUACGCACAGAGGAGGAGCAUGAAAGGCUGGGGGAUGGUCGGCUACACACAGAAGAGGAGCACACAGGGCUGGAGGAGAUGAUCAGCUACACACAGAGGAGUAGCACGCAAGGCUGGGGGAGAUGGUCGGCGACACACAGAGGAGGGGCAGGCAAGGCUGGGGGAGAUGGUCGGCUACUCACAGAGGAGGAGCGCGCAAGGCUGGAGGAGAUGGUCGGCUACGCACAGAGGAGGAGCAUGAAAGGCUGGGGGAUGGUCGGCUACACACAGAAGAGGAGCACACAGGGCUGGAGGAGAUGAUCGGCUACACACAGAGGAGGAGCACGCAAGGCUGGGGGAGAUGGUCGGCUACACAGAGAGGAGGAGCACGCAAGGCUGGGGGAGAUGGUUGGUCGGCUACACACAGAGGAGGAGCACGCAAGGCUGUAGGAGAUGAUCGGCUACACACAGAGGAGGAGCACGCAAGGCUGGGGGAGAUGGUCGGCUACACAGAGAGGAGGAGCAUGUAAGGCUGGGGGAGAUGGUCGGCUACACAGAGAGGAGGAGCACGCAAGGCUGGGGGAGAUGGUCGGCUACACACAGAGGAGGAGCACGCAAGGCUGUAGGAGAUGAUCGGCUACACACAGAGGAGGAGCACGCAAGGCUGGGGGAGAUGGUCGGCUACUCACAGAGGAGGGGCAGGCAAGGCUGGGGGAGAUGGUCGGCUACACACAGAGGAGGAGCACGCAAGGCUGGGGGAUGGUCGGCUACACACAGAGGAGGAGCACGCAAGGCUGGGGGAUGGUCGGCUACACACAGAAGAGGAGCACACAGGGCUGGAGGAGAUGAUCGGCUACACACAGAGGAGGAGCACGCAAGGCUGGAGGAGAUGAUCGGCUACACACAGAGGAGGAGCACGCAAGGCUGUAGGAGAUAGUCGGCUACACACAGAGGAGGAGCACGCAAGGCUGGGGGGGGUGGUCCGGCUACACACAGAGGAGGAGCACACAGGGCUGGAGGAGAUGAUCAGCUACCCACAGAGGAGGAGCACGCAAGGCUGGAGGAGAUGAUCAACCACACACAGAGGAGGAGCAUGCAAGGCUGGGGGAGAUGGUCGGCUACAUACAGAGGAGGGGCAGGCAAGGCUGGAGGAGAUGGUUGGCUACACACAGAGGAGGAACACGCAAGGCUGGAGGAGAUGAUCAGCGACACACAAAGGAGGAGCAGGCAAGGCUGGAGGAGAUGGUCGGCUACACACAGAGGAGGAGCACGCAAGGCUGGGGGAUGGUCGGCUACACACAGAAGAGGAGCACACAGGGCUGGAGGAGAUGAUCGGCUACACACUGAGGAGGAGCACGCAAGGCUGGAGGAGAUGAUCGGCUACACACAGAGGAGGAGCACGCAAGGCUGUAGGAGAUGGUCGGCUACUCACAGAGGAGGAGCACGCAAGGCUGGGGGGGUGGUCGGCUACACACAGAGGAGGAGCACACAGGGCUGGAGGAGAUGAUCAGCUACCCACAGAGGAGGAGCACGCAAGGCUGGAGGAGAUGAUCAACCACACACAGAGGAGGAGCAUGCAAGGCUGGAGGAGAUGGUUGGCUACACACAGAGGAGGAACAUGCAAGGCUGGAGGAGAUGAUCGGCGACACACAAAGGAGGAGCAGGCAAGGCUGGAGGAGAUGGUUGGCUACACACAGAGGAGGAACACGCAAGGCUGGAGGAGAUGAUCGCGACACACAAAGGAGGAGCAGGCAAGGCUGGAGGAGAUGGUCGGCUACACACAGAGGAGGAGCACGCAAGGCUGGGGGAUGGUCGGCUACACACAGAAGAGGAGCACACAGGGCUGGAGGAGAUGAUCGGCUACACACAGAGGAGGAGCACGCAAGGCUGUAGGAGAUGGUCGGCUACACACAGAGGAGGAGCACGCAAGGCUGGGGGGGUGGUCGGCUACACACAGAGGAGGAG